Molecule: ribosomal RNA, 1019 nt
Filed under: Marinobacter sp.
Lineage: Bacteria; Pseudomonadati; Pseudomonadota; Gammaproteobacteria; Pseudomonadales; Marinobacteraceae
Description: bacterial SSU rRNA
Rfam family: Bacterial small subunit ribosomal RNA
Source: RNAcentral
AGUCGAGCGGUAACAGGGAUUAGCUUGCUAAUUCGCUGACGAGUGGCGCACGGGUGCGUAACGCGUAUACAAUCUGCCUUCAAGCGGGGGAUAGCCCAUGGAAACGUGGAUUAAUACCCCAUGGUAUUAUGAUUUCACCUGGAAUUAUAAUUAAACAUUUAUGGCUUGAAGAUGAGUAUGCGUCCUAUUAGCUAGAUGGAGUGGUAACGGCACCCCAUGGCAACGAUAGGUAGGGGUCCUGAGAGGGAGAUCCCCCACACUGGUACUGAGACACGGACCAGACUCCUACGGGAGGCAGCAGUGAGGAAUAUUGGACAAUGGAGGCAACUCUGAUCCAGCCAUGCCGCGUGCAGGAAGACUGCCCUAUGGGUUGUAAACUGCUUUUAUACGGGAAGAACCACAUCUACGUGUAGGUGCUUGACGGUACCGUAUGAAUAAGGAUCGGCUAACUCCGUGCCAGCAGCCGCGGUAAUACGGAGGAUCCAAGCGUUAUCCGGAAUCAUUGGGUUUAAAGGGUCCGUAGGCGGGUUUAUAAGUCAGUGGUGAAAGUCUGUCGCUUAACGAUAGAAUUGCCAUUGAUACUGUAGACCUUGAAUUAUUAUGAAGUGGUUGGAAUGAGUAGUGUAGCGGUGAAAUGCAUAGAUAUUACUCAGAACACCUAUUGCGAAGGCAGAUCACUAAUACUAUAUUGACGCUGAUGGACGAAAGCGUAGGUAGCGAACAGGAUUAGAUACCCUGGUAGUCUACGCCGUAAACGAUGGUCACUAGCUGUCCGGCCUAAUUGAGGGCUGGGUGGCCAAGCGAAAGUGAUAAGUGACCCACCUGGGGAGUACGUUCGCAAGAAUGAAACUCAAAGGAAUUGACGGGGGCCCGCACAAGCGGUGGAGCAUGUGGUUUAAUUCGAUGAUACGCGAGGAACCUUACCAGGGCUUAAAUGCAGUCUGACAGGAGUGGAAACACUCCCUUCUUCGGACAGAUUGCAAGGUGCUGCAUGGUUGUCGUCAGCUCGUGCCGUGAGG